AAUGGGAAAUUGAGAGGGGGGCUGGCAGAGUGACCCAGCUCUUUGCUACUGACUCCUUUCUGCCCACGCCAAGAUCCUUGAGAAUACGUUAAGUGACCCUCAUUAGAGGCCCUUAAAACGAGAAAUUGGCAAAAUAGGGGAAGGCUCCCCAAUUUUCGGGGCUGUUUUUAGAGCGCUGUUCUCUUUAAAUGUGAUAAAACACUAUCGGCACUGUCUCUUUAAAAGAGUCAAGCAGAAAAAGCUGUGUAAGCGCUGAUUGGCUGCCUGUUUGGAUACAUCUUUAGGGGAGCCUUGAAACUGUUAGCCUAGGUUGAUUUUUUUUUUUAACUGCGCUGUUCCAAUAAACAAGUAACGCCCCUCCCCCUAACAUGCCUCGCACCAAACAAUUAAAGGAUAGGUCAGUGUCCUGGGGAAAACACGUUUCAAGUGGAAAAACUCAGAACUAGAUUUCAACAAAAUAAACAAUAAUUCCGUACCAUUAAAGUUUGCUUAUUUUGCUCUGUAGAAGAGAGAAAAGGGGCUUUUAUAAGAAAUGCCCCGCAGCAAACUGAUCUGCAUUGGUUCAGGAAGGAGACUCUGGGUACAUUUUUGGAAUAAUGUUCUGCUCAGUCUAACAGCCUCCCUAAAUUAAAAUAGAGCCAGGCCCUAUGGACACCUCUGGAUUCACUCCGCUCAGCCAAAGACCCAGAGCUCACGGAGGGGAAGGGGGAAGAAAAAGGGAAACAUUGAACCCUAGUUUGGGGUUGUCUCUGUUCCAGUUCCUAGUUUAAGGUUAUUUUAUCAAUGAGGGAAGAAGCAUGGAGAUUGGGAGUUGAAAUACCAUGAUAGGGGAGAGAAGGAAAUAAUUACAGUUAUUUUUUCCCUUAGGCGGUUUAAUUUAAUAGAGCCAACUUAAGGUGCCUGAGAGCCCACACUAAUGAAAUCGGCCUGCUUAUGCCCUUUCCCUGGACUUCCUUCUGUUUUUGAUGGACUAGGAAUGGCCAGGGAUGGCUUGUCAACACACUGACUCACAAGAUGCCUGACUCAUCUUGUGUCUGCAAGGCCCACAGACGAUUGAGGAUCGCUAGGUUCUGACGGAGGGAAAGCACUGCCCACUUACAGAGGCAGUGUCUCCCAGAGGACAGCAGGAUCCAAGUCUGAGUCAUCUGUGUAUCUCCCAAACCCAGCAAGAGUUUGAUACCUGUGUGCAUAUUGACACUCAUAGGACCUGUUCAAUGAAUACCUACUAUGUGCCAAGCCCUCUCCUAGGCCCUGAGUAAUAAACCAGACAGAAGUCCUUAGCCCUUUGAGCUUCCACUGGUGAACUUCUCCACCCAAGGCCUCUUCCUGUGAAAUACUCCUAAUACCUCCAAAAUCCA
Molecule: non-coding RNA, 1358 nt
Organism: Ictidomys tridecemlineatus (thirteen-lined ground squirrel)
Lineage: Eukaryota; Metazoa; Chordata; Mammalia; Rodentia; Sciuridae
Source: RefSeq, a predicted model, not a curated record